RNAcentral lists this ribosomal RNA (458 nucleotides) under uncultured bacterium. RNAcentral's name for it is "partial 16S ribosomal RNA". It matches the Rfam family "Bacterial small subunit ribosomal RNA", at positions 338 to 795 of the family's 1533-position model. The record is from RNAcentral.
CCUACGGGUGGCAGCAGUGAGGAAUAUUGGUCAAUGGGCGAGAGCCUGAACCAGCCAAGUCGCGUGAGGGAGUACUGCCCUAUGGGUUGUAAACCUCUUUUGUCGGGGAGCAAAAGCCGGACGUGUCCGGCUGUGAGAGUACCCGACGAAAAAGCAUCGGCUAACUCCGUGCCAGCAGCCGCGGUAAUACGGAGGAUGCGAGCGUUAUCCCGAUUUAUUGGGUUUAAAGGGUGCGCAGGCGGAUUUUUAAGUCAGCGGUAAAAUCGUGGGGCUCAACCCCAUCCAGCCGUUGAAACUGGGGAUCUAGAGUGUGCGAGAGGUAUGCGGAAUGCGUGGUGUAGCGGUGAAAUGCAUAGAUAUCACGCAGAACCCCGAUUGCGAAGGCAGCAUACCGGUGCACAACUGACGCUCAGGCACGAAAGCGUGGGUAUCGAACAGGAUUAGAUACCCGAGUAGUC